UACGGGGUGCUGCAGACGGGAGAGUAACACGUGGGAACGUACCCUUUGGUUCGGAACAACCCAGGGAAACUUGGGCUAAUACCGAAUAAGCCCUUACGGGGAAAGAUUUAUCGCCGAAGGAUCGGCCCGCGUCUGAUUAGCUAGUUGGUGAGGUAACGGCUCACCAAGGCGACGAUCAGUAGCUGGUCUGAGAGGAUGAUCAGCCUCACUGGGACUGAGACACGGCCCAGACUCCUACGGGGCGCUGCAGUAACGAAUCUUCCGCAAUGCACGAAAGUGUGACGGAGCGACGCCGCGUGUGGGACGAAGUCCUUCGGGAUGUAAACCACUGUCAGGGGUUACCAAGUUCUGAGGAGCCCCAGAGGAAGGCACGGCUAACUCUGUGCCAGCAGCCGCGGUAAGACAGAGGUGCCAAGCGUUAGGCGGAAUCACUGGGCUUAAAGCGUGUGUAGGCGGAAUUGUAAGUACCUUGUGAAAUCCCACGGCUCAACCGUGGAACUGCUCGGUAUACUGCUUUUCUUGAGCCACUUAGGGGCUGUCGGAACAAA
RNAcentral lists this ribosomal RNA (548 nucleotides) under uncultured bacterium. RNAcentral's name for it is "bacterial SSU rRNA". It matches the Rfam family "Bacterial small subunit ribosomal RNA", at positions 87 to 670 of the family's 1533-position model. The record is from RNAcentral.